RNAcentral lists this ribosomal RNA (472 nucleotides) under uncultured Anoxybacillus sp. Its description in RNAcentral is "bacterial SSU rRNA". It matches the Rfam family "Bacterial small subunit ribosomal RNA", at positions 901 to 1382 of the family's 1533-position model. Lineage: Bacteria; Bacillati; Bacillota; Bacilli; Caryophanales; Anoxybacillaceae. The record is from RNAcentral.
UCAAAGGAAUUGACGGGGCCCGCACAAGCGGUGGAGCAUGUGGUUUAAUUCGAUGCAACGCGAAGAACCUUACCUAGACUUGACAACCCGAGAGAUCGGGCGUUCCCCUUCGGGGGGGACAGGGUGACAGGUGGUGCAUGGUUGUCGUCAGCUCGUGUCGUGAGAUGUUGGGUUAAGUCCCGCAACGAGCGCAACCCUCGACCUUAGUUGCCAGCGAGUCAAGUCGGGCACUCUAAGGUGACUGCCGGCUAAAAGUCGGAGGAAGGUGGGGAUGACGUCAAAUCAUCAUGCCCCUUAUGACCUGGGCUACACACGUGCUACAAUGGGCGGUACAAAGGGUCGCGAACCCGCGAGGGGGAGCCAAUCCCAAAAAGCCGCUCUCAGUUCGGAUUGCAGGCUGCAACUCGCCUGCAUGAAGCCGGAAUCGCUAGUAAUCGCGGAUCAGCAUGCCGCGUCGAUACGUUCCGGCCUU